UAGAGUGAAGCUCCUCGAGAAGGGGAAACGUGGCUCAGUUACCUAUCAUCCUGUAUCCAGCCCCAUGCAUGCAAGACACAGGGGCAGCAUGGUGUAGUAAAAGAGGUUGAACUCUACCACUUAUUAACUGGGCAAUCUCUCUGAGGCUCCCUCAUACUUCAAGGUGUACAAUAUAAUGAUUCAGCAAUUCUAUACAUUUCUCCGUGCUUAUCGUGAGUCUCUGACUACACACAGGAGAAGCAGAGGGUGCAGCAUCCUCAUCGGCCUGGGAGAUAAAAGGACUUGAGGAAGACACGGGGAGGACAUCAUCACCGGAGGUCGGGGGCCACGAGACAGGACAGAGGUGUAGAACAGUUGGGAGUCAGGCAUCUAGAACGGGAGAACUUCCAAGUUGUCAUGAUGUGUGAGGGAUUUAGAGAGAAAAGAAAAUCGAAAAGGAGAUACUUAAAAUCCUGGGGCUCUAGGUUACAAAUCAAAUCCUUUUCAUCUUCUUUGAAGGAAGAAAGAUUGGAAGUCCCAUUUGGUUACUUUGGGAGGGUUUUUUCCAUCUGUAAAUUGGAGAUAAUAUCUGCAAUAACGUGAUAUGAGGAUCAACUUAGUUUUCUCUACCCUUUUAUACCACUCUCCUUCGCCAAGGCCCUGCCCCAUGACCGUUGCCUCAAAAAUGUCCACUACUGGCUGUUGUCCCUGUAUUUAUAGCACUAGAAAACAGUGAUUUCUUUGUGACUGUGACUGUGGGCUCCCUGUGGCCAGUGCUGUGUCCUUUUUGUCAUUGGGUCUUCAGUGCCAGGCAUAGGAUCUGAUACGUCCUGUGUACACAACCCAUGUUUAGUAAGUGAAGGAAUGUAUGAAUGAAUGAAUGUGAAUGACAAGCACUGAUGUAAUAAAUAAGCAUUCUCAUUCCUUGUCCAAUCAAAGUCAAAUACUAAUAUACUAAAGAUUCUCCAAUAAUUUCUUAAAACUCUAGUUGACUGAAUUAAAUAAACAAAUUACAAUGAAUUCAUGCACACCAUCAACAGGCCUU
This is a long non-coding RNA of Felis catus (domestic cat), 1024 nucleotides long. RefSeq lists it as uncharacterized. The transcript is spliced from 4 exons. NCBI's taxonomy places the organism in Eukaryota, Metazoa, Chordata, Mammalia, Carnivora, Felidae. The record is from RefSeq and is a predicted model, not a curated record.